CAAGUCGAACGAUGAAGCCCAGCUUGCUGGGUGGAUUAGUGGCGAACGGGUGAGUAACACGUGAGUAACCUGCCCUUAACUCUGGGAUAAGCCUGGGAAACUGGGUCUAAUACCGGAUAGGAGCGCCUACCGCAUGGUGGGUGUUGGAAAGAUUUAUCGGUUUUGGAUGGACUCGCGGCCUAUCAGCUUGUUGGUGAGGUAAUGGCUCACCAAGGCGACGACGGGUAGCCGGCCUGAGAGGGUGACCGGCCACACUGGGACUGAGACACGGCCCAGACUCCUACGGGAGGCAGCAGUGGGGAAUAUUGCACAAUGGGCGAAAGCCUGAUGCAGCGACGCCGCGUGAGGGAUGACGGCCUUCGGGUUGUAAACCUCUUUCAGUAGGGAAGAAGCGAAAGUGACGGUACCUGCAGAAGAAGCACCGGCUAACUACGUGCCAGCAGCCGCGGUAAUACGUAGGGUGCGAGCGUUAUCCGGAAUUAUUGGGCGUAAAGAGCUCGUAGGCGGUUUGUCGCGUCUGUCGUGAAAGUCCGGGGCUUAACCCCGGAUCUGCGGUGGGUACGGGCAGACUAGAGUGCAGUAGGGGAGACUGGAAUUCCUGGUGUAGCGGUGGAAUGCGCAGAUAUCAGGAGGAACACCGAUGGCGAAGGCAGGUCUCUGGGCUGUAACUGACGCUGAGGAGCGAAAGCAUGGGGAGCGAACAGGAUUAGAUACCCUGGUAGUCCAUGCCGUAAACGUUGGGCACUAGGUGUGGGGACCAUUCCACGGUUUCCGCGCCGCAGCUAACGCAUUAAGUGCCCCGCCUGGGGAGUACGGCCGCAAGGCUAAAACUCAAAGGAAUUGACGGGGGCCCGCACAAGCGGCGGAGCAUGCGGAUUAAUUCGAUGCAACGCGAAGAACCUUACCAAGGCUUGACAUGUUCUCGAUCGCCGUAGAGAUACGGUUUCCCCUUUGGGGCGGGUUCACAGGUGGUGCAUGGUUGUCGUCAGCUCGUGUCGUGAGAUGUUGGGUUAAGUCCCGCAACGAGCGCAACCCUCGUUCCAUGUUGCCAGCACGUAAUGGUGGGGACUCAUGGGAGACUGCCGGGGUCAACUCGGA
RNAcentral lists this ribosomal RNA (1098 nucleotides) under Micrococcus sp. Its description in RNAcentral is "bacterial SSU rRNA". It matches the Rfam family "Bacterial small subunit ribosomal RNA", at positions 58 to 1167 of the family's 1533-position model. The record is from RNAcentral. Lineage: Bacteria; Bacillati; Actinomycetota; Actinomycetes; Micrococcales; Micrococcaceae.